GCAAGUCGAGCGGACCGAAGGGAGCUUGCUCCUUUAGGUUAGCGGCGGACGGGUGAGUAACACGUGGGCAACCUGCCCUGCAGACUGGGAUAACUUCGGGAAACCGGAGCUAAUACCGGAUAACACCGAAAACCGCAUGGUUUUCGGUUGAAAGGCGGCUUUUAGCUGUCACUGCAGGAUGGGCCCGCGGCGCAUUAGCUAGUUGGUGAGGUAACGGCUCACCAAGGCGACGAUGCGUAGCCGACCUGAGAGGGUGACCGGCCACACUGGGACUGAGACACGGCCCAGACUCCUACGGGAGGCAGCAGUGGGGAAUAUUGCACAAUGGGCGAAAGCCUGAUGCAGCAACGCCGCGUGCGGGAUGAAGGCCCUAGGGUUGUAAACCGCUUUCAGCAGGGAAGAAAAUGACGGUACCUGUAGAAGAAGGUGCGGCCAACUACGUGCCAGCAGCCGCGGUAAU
Molecule: ribosomal RNA, 460 nt
Filed under: uncultured bacterium
Lineage: Bacteria
Description: bacterial SSU rRNA
Rfam family: Bacterial small subunit ribosomal RNA
Source: RNAcentral